RNAcentral lists this ribosomal RNA (427 nucleotides) under uncultured prokaryote. RNAcentral's name for it is "bacterial SSU rRNA". It matches the Rfam family "Bacterial small subunit ribosomal RNA", at positions 355 to 774 of the family's 1533-position model. The record is from RNAcentral.
UAGGGAAUAUUGGUCAAUGGGCGCAAGCCUGAACCAGCCAUGCCGCGUGAGUGAUGAAGGCCUUCGGGUCGUAAAACUCUUUUCUGCGGAAAGAACAUCCGGACGAGGAAAUGCGUCCGGUCUGACGGUACCGCAGGAAUAAGCAACGGCUAACUCCGUGCCAGCAGCCGCGGUAAUACGGAGGUUGCAAGCGUUGUUCGGAAUAACUGGGCGUAAAGGGAGCGCAGGCGGCAAGGUCAGUCUAAAGUGAAAGCCCGGGGCUUAACCUCGGAAGUGCUUUAGAUACUGCCUUUCUCGAGUUCGUGAGAGGAAAGCGGAAUUCCAGGUGUAGCGGUGAAAUGCGUAGAUAUCUGGAGGAACACCGGUGGCGAAAGCGGCUUUCUGGCGCGAUACUGACGCUGAGGCUCGAAAGCAUGGGGAGCGAACG